This 433-nucleotide ribosomal RNA is filed under the name uncultured bacterium. RNAcentral describes it as "partial 16S ribosomal RNA". It matches the Rfam family "Bacterial small subunit ribosomal RNA", at positions 29 to 507 of the family's 1533-position model. The record is from RNAcentral.
AACGAACGCUGGCGGCAUGCCUAAUACAUGCCAGUCGAACGAGAUCUUCGGACCUAGUUGCGCACGGGUGCGUAACGCGUGGGAAGUUGCCCUUGGGUUCGGAAUAACUUCUGGAAGCGGAAGCUAAUACCGGAGGAUGACGUAAGUCCAAAGAUUUAUCGCCCAAGGAUGAGCCCGCGUAGGAUUAGCUAGUUGGGGGGGUAAAGGCCAGCCAAGGCGACGAUCCUUAGCUGGUCUGAGAGGAUGAUCAGCCACACUGGGACUGAGACACGGCCCAGACUGCUAGGGGGGGCAGCAGUAGGGAAUAUUGGACAAUGGGGGAUAAUCUGAUCCAGCCAUGCCGGGUGAGUGAUGAAGGCCUUAGGGUUGUACAGCUCUUUUACACGGGAUGAUAAUGACAGUACCGGGAGAAUAAGCUCCGGCUAACUACGUG